This 33-nucleotide ribosomal RNA is filed under the name Eimeria ellipsoidalis. RNAcentral's name for it is "partial 5.8S rRNA". The record is from RNAcentral. Lineage: Eukaryota; Apicomplexa; Conoidasida; Eucoccidiorida; Eimeriidae.
AAACUUUCAGCAAUGGAUGUCUUGGCUCGUGCA